UACGGGGGGGGCAAGCGUUGUUCGGAAUUACUGGGCGUAAAGGGCUCGUAGGCGGCCAACUAAGUCAGACGUGAAAUCCCUCGGCUUAACCGGGGAACUGCAUCUGAUACUGGAUGGCUUGAGUUCGGCAGAGGGGGGUAGAAUUCCACGUGUAGCAGUGAAAUGCGCAGAUAUGCGGAGGAACACCGAUGGCGAAGGCAAUCCCCUGGACCUGUACUGACGCUCAUGCACGAAAGCGUGGGGAGCAAACAGG
This 253-nucleotide ribosomal RNA is filed under the name uncultured bacterium. RNAcentral describes it as "partial 16S ribosomal RNA". It matches the Rfam family "Bacterial small subunit ribosomal RNA", at positions 524 to 776 of the family's 1533-position model. The record is from RNAcentral.